Molecule: transfer RNA, 76 nt
Filed under: Armatimonadota bacterium
Lineage: Bacteria; Bacillati; Armatimonadota
Also listed under: 3 other names
Description: Armatimonadetes bacterium (activated sludge metagenome) tRNA-Lys
Rfam family: tRNA
About the family: Transfer RNA (tRNA) molecules are approximately 80 nucleotides in length. Their secondary structure includes four short double-helical elements and three loops (D, anti-codon, and T loops).
Source: RNAcentral
GGACCGUUAGCUCAGUUGGUAGAGCAGCUGACUCUUAAUCAGCGGGUCGAAGGUUCGAGUCCUUCACGGUCCACCA